This 421-nucleotide ribosomal RNA is filed under the name uncultured Dysgonomonas sp. RNAcentral's name for it is "bacterial SSU rRNA". It matches the Rfam family "Bacterial small subunit ribosomal RNA", at positions 356 to 774 of the family's 1533-position model. The record is from RNAcentral. Lineage: Bacteria; Pseudomonadati; Bacteroidota; Bacteroidia; Bacteroidales; Dysgonomonadaceae.
GAGGAAUAUUGGUCAAUGGACGAGAGUCUGAACCAGCCAAAUCGCGUGAAGGAAGACUGCCCUACGGGUUGUAAACUUCUUUUGUACAGGAAUAAAAGACAUUACGUGUAGUGUAUUGCAUGUACUGUACGAAUAAGCAUCGGCUAACUCCGUGCCAGCAGCCGCGGUAAUACGGAGGAUGCGAGCGUUAUCCGGAUUUAUUGGGUUUAAAGGGUGCGCAGGCGGGAUUUUAAGUCAGCGGUGAAAUUUUCAGGCUCAACCUGAACACUGCCGUUGAAACUGGGAUUCUUGAGUAUGGAUGAAGUAGGCGGAAUUCGUUGUGUAGCGGUGACAUGCUUAGAUAUAACGAGGAACUCCGAUUGCGUAGGCAGCUUACUAAGCCAUAACUGACGCUCAAGCACGAAAGCGUGGGGAUCAAACA